Molecule: ribosomal RNA, 442 nt
Filed under: uncultured bacterium
Lineage: Bacteria
Description: bacterial SSU rRNA
Rfam family: Bacterial small subunit ribosomal RNA
Source: RNAcentral
AACGAACGCUGGCGGCAUGCCUAACACAUGCAAGUCGAACGAGACCUUCGGGUCUAGUGGCGCACGGGUGCGUAACGCGUGGGAAUCUGCCCUUGGGUUCGGAAUAACUCAGAGAAAUUUGAGCUAAUACCGGAUGAUGACGUAAGUCCAAAGAUUUAUCGCCCAAGGAUGAGCCCGCGUAGGAUUAGCUAGUUGGUGAGGUAAAGGCUCACCAAGGCGACGAUCCUUAGCGGUCUGAGAGGAUGAUCAGCCACACUGGGACUGAGACACGGCCCAGACUCCUACGGGAGGCAGCAGUGGGGAAUAUUGGACAAUGGGCGAAAGCCUGAUCCAGCAAUGCCGCGUGAGUGAUGAAGGCCUUAGGGUUGUAAAGCUCUUUUACCCGGGAUGAUAAUGACAGUACCGGGAGAAUAAGCUCCGGCUAACUCCGUGCCAGCAGCCG